This 566-nucleotide long non-coding RNA is filed under the name Equus asinus (donkey). RNAcentral describes it as "lncRNA (ENSEASG00005029755.1)". The record is from RNAcentral. Lineage: Eukaryota; Metazoa; Chordata; Mammalia; Perissodactyla; Equidae.
GAGCCAGUCACGGUUAUAGUAAUAACUAAAAUUUGCACAGGACUUUACAGCUUCCAAAAUACUCUCCAAAAUAUUGUUAUUUAGCCACCAUUCAUCCGUAAACUAGUUACUCAUUAUUGUUGUUGUUUUAAUUUUUUCAGGUGAGUACACUGAGAGAGCAAUUAAAUAACUUGCCCAAGAUCCCAUAGCCAAGAAGAGGCAAUCCUUUUCUUCUGAGUCUGAAUCCUGUACAGUUCUCACCCUAUCCACCUGCCUUGUUCCCUUCUCUGCUUACUGGAGUCUUGCAUCCUCAUGUUCAGGGCUGAGUUCUAGGAUUCUGGAAAGGGGUACAGCUCCCAACUUCCUGGACAUAAGAAGUACUUCUUUCUCUGCCUGAUUUGCUCCUCUGUUGCUCCCAAGAUGGCGGACCUCUCCAUAGCAAUGGGAAGACAGCAAGAUGUAUGAACCUACCCCUGGAAGCAAAAGCACUGACCUCACGUAAUUCCCUGGACAUGUAAGAACGCUAUUUGUGUGUCAUGUAUGAGAAUAUGUCUGUCAAGGCUUCAAUGUGCCAAAUAAGAAAGAGG